CUCUGCCACUGAUAACUCCUCAUUUCCAUCAUCUGGCUUGAGUCAGAAAGGUGUUUGUUGCCUUCUUUUUCCAAACUGUGGUGACUGUAAGGGACUUGUGGGAUAGUUGGACUAUACUGAGAAAGCUGACACUUAGAGGAUGGCACCUCACAUGUUCCUUCUCCUGUUAGCAGGUCUAAUAGGAGCAGCAACAGCACACAAUGAUAAUACAACAGAAUCAGGCAACCUAACAACUAUAUUACCAGAGACCAUGGACUCAACACAAAA
Long non-coding RNA from Xiphophorus couchianus (Monterrey platyfish), 267 nucleotides. RefSeq lists it as uncharacterized. The transcript is spliced from 4 exons. The record is from RefSeq and is a predicted model, not a curated record. NCBI's taxonomy places the organism in Eukaryota, Metazoa, Chordata, Actinopteri, Cyprinodontiformes, Poeciliidae.